GACGAACGCUGGCGGCGUGCCUAAUACAUGCAAGUCGAGCGAUGAUUAAAGAUAGCUUGCUAUUUUUAUGAAGAGCGGCGAACGGGUGAGUAACGCGUGGGAAAUCUGCCGAGUAGCGGGGGACAACGUUUGGAAACGAACGCUAAUACCGCAUAACAAUGAGAAUCGCAUGAUUCUUAUUUGAAAGAAGCAAUUGCUGCCAUACUUUAUGGACCCGCGUUGCAUUAGCUAGUUGGUAGUGUAAAGGACUACCAAGGCGAUGAUACAUAGCCGACCUGAGAGGGUGAUCGGCCACACUGGGACUGAGACACGGCCCAGACUCCUACGGGAGGCAGCAGUAGGGAAUCUUCGGCAAUGGGGGCAACCCUGACCGAGCAACGCCGCGUGAGUGAAGAAGGUUUUCGGAUCGUAAAGCUCUGUUGUAAGAGAAGAACGUGUGUGAGAGUGGAAAGUUCACACAGUGACGGUAACUUACCAGAAAGGGACGGCUAACUACGUGCCAGCAGCCGCAGUAA
This 515-nucleotide ribosomal RNA is filed under the name uncultured bacterium. RNAcentral's name for it is "partial 16S ribosomal RNA". It matches the Rfam family "Bacterial small subunit ribosomal RNA", at positions 28 to 523 of the family's 1533-position model. The record is from RNAcentral.